UACAGAGGGGGCAAGCGUUGUUCGGAAUUACUGGGCGUAAAGGGCGCGUAGGCGGCCUGUUAAGUCGAACGUGAAAUCCCCGGGCUCAACCCGGGAACUGCGUCCGAUACUGGCAGGCUUGAAUUCGGGAGAGGGAUGUGGAAUUCCAGGUGUAGCGGUGAAAUGCGUAGAUAUCUGGAGGAACACCGGUGGCGAAGGCGGCAUCCUGGACCGAUAUUGACGCUGAUGCGCGAAAGCCAGGGGAGCAAACGGGG
RNAcentral lists this ribosomal RNA (254 nucleotides) under uncultured bacterium. Its description in RNAcentral is "partial 16S ribosomal RNA". It matches the Rfam family "Bacterial small subunit ribosomal RNA", at positions 524 to 777 of the family's 1533-position model. The record is from RNAcentral.